Molecule: ribosomal RNA, 451 nt
Filed under: uncultured bacterium
Lineage: Bacteria
Description: partial 16S ribosomal RNA
Rfam family: Bacterial small subunit ribosomal RNA
Source: RNAcentral
AGCGAACGCUGGCGGCAUGCCUAACACAUGCAAGUCGCACGGGGGGGCUUCGGCCUCCCAGUGGCGGACGGGUGAGGAACGCGUAGGGACCUGUCGAGGGGUGGGGGAUAACCGCGGGAAACUGCGGCUAAUACCGCAUGACGCCGCGGCGUGACAGCCGGGGCCAAAGGCGAAAGCCGCCCGCCGAGGGGCCUGCGUCCGAUUAGCUGGUUGGCGGGGUAGCGGCCCACCAAGGCGUCGAUCGGUAGCUGGUCUGAGAGGGUGAUCAGCCACACCGGGAAUGAGACACGGCCCGGACUCCUACGGGAGGCAGCAGUGGGGAAUAUUGGACAAUGGGCGCAAGCCUGAUCCAGCAAUGCCGCGUGGGUGAAGAAGGUCUUCGGAUUGUAAAGCCCUUUCGGCGGGGACGAUGGUGACGGUACCCGCAGAAGAAGCCCCGGCUAACUUCGUG